RNAcentral lists this long non-coding RNA (1009 nucleotides) under Marmota monax (woodchuck). The record is from RNAcentral. Lineage: Eukaryota; Metazoa; Chordata; Mammalia; Rodentia; Sciuridae.
GGAAAACACCACACACACACACACACCAAAUACAAAUCUAAUAACCAAAUAUGCAAUUAAUCUUAAGGGAGUUUCAAUUUUUUGCCUCAUCCCUUCUUUCACAUUCUUAGUUUUGGGUUGGAGGAGACUUUUUAAAAAACUAUCCAGAGAAAAAAAUCAAGAUAGAUCUGAGAUCAACUCAUCUAACAUGAUAGUAAAUAUAAGAUGGAAUUAACCCACUCAUCAAGAAAACCACCCCAUGUCACCAAGCAAAAGCCAAUCUAAGCCAUUUAAAUGAGACAUCCAUAACAAAGAGAGCCAUCAAAGUUGAACAUGAAAAAGAUGGACACAGGUGUACCAGACCAAGCACAAAAGAAAUCAAGCAUUGCCAGUUUAUUUUCAAGGAAGAAAUCCGAGACAAAAAAUAAGACAAAGAUCAUUCACAUUCUAAGUUAAAAAAAAAAAAAUCCCCCCAAACCCAAAAAAGUGUUGUAUUGAAUGCACAAGCAGUAUUGUUGUAAAAAGAGGGUUUUUAGAAAUUUAUGCAACUAUCCUGUAUUUCUUCCAAAUGUCACUGAAAAAAAUAUUAUUCCAUUUUUCAAAAAGUAACAAUGGCAUUGCUCUUCUGCUCUAGUCAAUUAGCAGGGUUACUGCAUUAGGCAGAAAGUUUUAUUUGUAUUUAGUAAAACAAAUCGUUUAGGUAAGUAGUUGUGUCAAAAUUUUUCAAUAUGAAGCAAAAUUAAAAUUGCAAUGUUAAGUCUUCCCUACCACAAAUAUCUCAAUUGUUGCUUCAAAAGAGAAAAGGAGAAACCAACUUGAGUCAAUGAAUCUUACUGAAAAUCACCUUGUUUUCUCAGGAGGACCAUAUUUGAAGAGAUUCUGAGACCUCUCAGGGAGAUAUCACUGCUAUGACUUAGGAAAGAUGGCAAUAUAGGCUCAAAUUUACUUUCUGAUCCAAGACAAAUUUCAAAAUAGCUGGAGUCAAAUUGAGAGAUUUGAUUUUACAAGGGUUCAAAUGGUAACAGGUUUG